Molecule: ribosomal RNA, 443 nt
Filed under: uncultured bacterium
Lineage: Bacteria
Description: partial 16S ribosomal RNA
Rfam family: Bacterial small subunit ribosomal RNA
Source: RNAcentral
CCUACGGGUGACAGCAGUGGGGGAUAUUGGGCAAUGGGCGCAACCCUGACCCAGCAACGCCGCGUGGAGGAAGAAGGGUUUCGGGUUGUAAACUUCUUUUGUCAGGGACGAAGCAAGUGACGCUACCUGACGAAUCAGCCACUGCUAACUACGUUCCAGCAGCCGCUGUACGACGUAGGUGGCAAGCGUUAUCCGGCUUUACUGGGUGUAAAGGGCGUGCAGGCGGGGAAGCAAGUCAGAUGUGAAAACCACGGGCUCAACCUGUGGCCUGCAUUUGAAACUGGUUGUCUUGAGUGCUGGAGAGGCAGGCGGAAUUCCGAGUGUAGCGGUGAAAUGCGUAGAUAUACGGAGGAACACCAGUGGCGAAGGCGGACUGCUGGACAGUAACUGACGCUGAGGCGCGAAAGCGUGGGGAGCAAACAGGAUUAGAUACCCUGGUAGUC